CCCUUAGAUGUUCUGGGCCGCACGCGCGCUACACUGAUGCAUUCAACGAGUUUCUUCCUGGUCCGAGAGGAAUGGGUAACCUUUUGAAAAUGCAUCGUGAUAGGGAUAGACUAUUGCAAUUAUUGGUCUUCAACGAGGAAUUCCUAGUAGACGUAGUUCAUCAGACUGCAUCGAUUACGUCCCUGCCCUUUUUACACACCGCCCGUCGCUCCUACCGAUUGAAUGCUCAGGUGAGCCAUUCGGACUUUCAUCAUGCUGGUUUCCAGUUUUGAUGAAGGAAAGUCUUGCGAACCUUAUCAUUUAGAGGAAGGAGAAGUCGUAACA
RNAcentral lists this ribosomal RNA (324 nucleotides) under uncultured eukaryote. Its description in RNAcentral is "partial 18S ribosomal RNA". It matches the Rfam family "Eukaryotic small subunit ribosomal RNA", at positions 1470 to 1796 of the family's 1831-position model. The record is from RNAcentral.